This 743-nucleotide long non-coding RNA is filed under the name Nicotiana benthamiana. RNAcentral describes it as "long non-coding RNA (NBEN_LNC033568)". Lineage: Eukaryota; Viridiplantae; Streptophyta; Magnoliopsida; Solanales; Solanaceae. The record is from RNAcentral.
GCAGCCUCUCUGCCCUUUUGGGUAGGGGUAAGGCUGUGUACAUAUUACCUUCCCCAGACCCCACCUGGUGGGAGUAUACUGGGUAGUUGUUGUUGUUGUUGUUGUUGUUAUAGGCUGGUUGUCUCACUGUUUUGUUAUUCAGGGCUAGUGCACUAAGACGGCGACGUUGGCUAUGAUGGGAAUGCCAUGGAUUUAGUGGUGAGGUUUGACGGAUUAUGUUCCCAAUAAGGUGAUUUUAUUUUUGAAGACCCAGCAAAUGGCCGGGGAGGGUUGUCUUUCUUAUUUGUCCGUCGUGAUGGAUGACAAUGCAGAGACUCCUACCAUGAUUCAGUUUCGGUGGUAAGAAAAUUUUCAGAUGUGUUUCCUGCUGUCGAGCAUGUUUCUAGACAUGGUUGUCGAUUUAAGUAUUGAUUUGGUGUCAGACACCGUAUCAUAUGGAACCAGCGAAGUUAAAGGAUUUGAAGGAACAACUUCAGGAUCUCUUUGAUAAGGGGUUCAUUAGUAGACCUAUAUGGAGGUGUGUUCUACAUCGAGUUGGCUUGGUUGACUCCGAGUUGUAUUGUUAAGGGAUGUAUUGAUUCGAUUGUUAUUGAGCUUAUUAGUGAUAUGGGAAGAUAUAUUUGGGGUUAGUAAAAGGGGACGAGUUUUUUUCGUAUCAUCACGCAGCAAGAGUAAUAGUGCAUGACACGUUUACGUAGGGGUAUAUGGAUAUGCCCCAGCGUUGUUGUACAAGAGAGUUUUAU